CAACCUGCCCAUCACUUGGGAAUAACCUUGCGAAAGUAAGACUAAUGCCCAAUGACAUUUAUAGAAGGCAUCGGAAAUGAAUUAAAGAUUUAUCGGUGAUGGAUGGGGAUGCGUCUGAUUAGCUUGUUGGCGGGGUAACGGCCCACCAAGGCGACGAUCAGUAGGGGUUCUGAGAGGAAGGUCCCCCACAUUGGAACUGAGACACGGUCCAAACUCCUACGGGAGGCAGCAGUGAGGAAUAUUGGUCAAUGGGCGAGAGCCUGAACCAGCCAAGUAGCGUGCAGGAUGACGGCCCUAUGGGUUGUAAACUGCUUUUAUAGGGGAAUAAAGUGAUCCACGUGUGGUUUUUUGCAUGUACCCUAUGAAUAAGGACCGGCUAAUUCCGUGCCAGCAGCCGCGGUAAUACGGAAGGUCCGGGCGUUAUCCGGAUUUAUUGGGUUUAAAGGGAGCGUAGGCCGGAGAUUAAGCGUGUUGUGAAAUGUAGAUGCUCAACAUCUGCACUGCAGCGCGAACUGGUUUCCUUGAGUACGCAUAAAGUGGGCGGAAUUCGUGGUGUAGCGGUGAAAUGCUUAGAUAUCACGAAGAACUCCGAUUG
This 595-nucleotide ribosomal RNA is filed under the name uncultured Bacteroidota bacterium. RNAcentral's name for it is "bacterial SSU rRNA". It matches the Rfam family "Bacterial small subunit ribosomal RNA", at positions 122 to 715 of the family's 1533-position model. Lineage: Bacteria; Pseudomonadati; Bacteroidota. The record is from RNAcentral.